This 445-nucleotide ribosomal RNA is filed under the name uncultured bacterium. RNAcentral describes it as "partial 16S ribosomal RNA". It matches the Rfam family "Bacterial small subunit ribosomal RNA", at positions 354 to 796 of the family's 1533-position model. The record is from RNAcentral.
GUGAGGAAUAUUGGUCAAUGGACGAGAGUCUGAACCAGCCAAGUCGCGUGAAGGAAGACGGUUCUAUGAAUUGUAAACUUCUUUUGUGCAGGAAUAAAGUGGGUUACGUGUAACCUUUUGUAUGUACUGUACGAAUAAGGAUCGGCUAACUCCGUGCCAGCAGCCGCGGUAAUACGGAGGAUCCGAGCGUUAUCCGGAUUUAUUGGGUUUAAAGGGUGCGUAGGUGGAUUGAUAAGUCAGCGGUGAAAGUUUGCAGCUUAACUGUAAAAUUGCCGUUGAAACUGUCGGUCAUGAGUGCAAAUGAGGUAGGCGGAAUGUGUUGUGGAGCGGUGAAAUGCUUAGAUAUAACACAGAACUCCGAUUGCGAAGGCAGCUUACUGGGAUGCAACUGACACUGAUGCACGAAAGCGUGGGUAUCAAACAGGAUUAGAAACCCGAGUAGUCC